GGGAGCACAGGUUUACCUGUGUGACUGCGUACCUUUUGUAUAAUGGGUCAGCGACUUAUAUUCUGUAGCAAGGUUAACCGAAUAGGGGAGCCGGAGGGAAACCGAGUCUUAAUUGGGCGUUAAGUUGCAGGGUAUAGACCCGAAACCCGGUGAUCUAGCCAUGGGCAGGUUGAAGGUUGGGUAACACUAACUGGAGGACCGAACCGACUAAUGUUGAAAAAUUAGCGGAUGACCUGUGGCUGGGGGUGAAAGGCCAAUCAAACCGGGAGAUAGCUGGUUCUCCCCGAAAGCUAUUUAGGUAGCGCCUCGUGAAUUCAUCUCCGGGGGUAGAGCACUGUUUCGGCUAGGGGGCCAUCCCGGCUUACCAACCCGAUGCAAACUGCGAAUACCGGAGAAUGUUAUCACGGGAGACACACGGCGGGUGCUAACGUCCGUCGUGAAGAGGGAAACAACCCAGACCGCCAGCUAAGGUCCCAAAGUCAUGGUUAAGUGGGAAACGAUGUGGGAAGGCCCAGACAGCCAGGAUGUUGGCUUAGAAGCAGCCAUCAUUUAAAGAAAGCGUAAUAGCUCACUGGUCGAGUCGGCCUGCGCGGAAGAUGUAACGGGGCUAAACCAUGCACCGAAGCUGCGGCAGCGANNUGCUGGAGGUAUCAGAAGUGCGAAUGCUGACAUAAGUAACGAUAAAGCGGGUGAAAAGCCCGCUCGCCGGAAGACCAAGGGUUCCUGUCCAACGUUAAUCGGGGCAGGGUGAGUCGACCCCUAAGGCGAGGCCGAAAGGCGUAGUCGAUGGGAAACGGGUUAAUAUUCCCGUACUUGGUGUUACUGCGAAGGGGGGACGGAGAAGGCUAUGUUGGCCGGGCGACGGUUGUCCCGGUUUAAGCGUGUAGGUGUGUGUUCCAGGUAAAUCCGGUUCACUUUAACACUGAGGCGUGACGACGAGGCACUACGGUGCUGAAGCAACAAAUGCCCUGCUUCCAGGAAAAGCCUCUAAGCAUCAGGUAACAUCAAAUCGUACCCCAAACCGACACAGGUGGUCAGGUAGAGAAUACCAAGGCGCUUGAGAGAACUCGGGUGAAGGAACUAGGCAAAAUGGUGCCGUAACUUCGGGAGAAGGCACGCUGACAUGUAGGUGAAGUGAUUUACUCAUGGAGCUGAAGUCAGUCGAAGAUACCAGCUGGCUGCAACUGUUUAUUAAAAACACAGCACUGUGCAAACACGAAAGUGGACGUAUACGGUGUGACGCCUGCCCGGUGCCGGAAGGUUAAUUGAUGGGGUCAGCGCAAGCGAAGCUCCUGAUCGAAGCCCCGGUAAACGGCGGCCGUAACUAUAACGGUCCUAAGGUAGCGAAAUUCCUUGUCGGGUAAGUUCCGACCUGCACGAAUGGCGUAAUGAUGGCCAGGCUGUCUCCACCCGAGACUCAGUGAAAUUGAACUCGCUGUGAAGAUGCAGUGUACCCGCGGCAAGACGGAAAGACCCCGUGAACCUUUACUAUAGCUUGACACUGAACAUUGAGCCUUGAUGUGUAGGAUAGGUGGGAGGCUUUGAAGUGUGGACGCCAGUCUGCAUGGAGCCGACCUUGAAAUACCACCCUUUAAUGUUUGAUGUUCUAACGUGGACCCGUUAUCCGGGUUGCGGACAGUGUCUGGUGGGUAGUUUGACUGGGGCGGUCUCCUCCUAAAGAGUAACGGAGGAGCACGAAGGUUGGCUAAUCCUGGUCGGACAUCAGGAGGUUAGUGCAAUGGCAUAAGCCAGCUUGACUGCGAGCGUGACGGCGCGAGCAGGUGCGAAAGCAGGUCAUAGUGAUCCGGUGGUUCUGAAUGGAAGGGCCAUCGCUCAACGGAUAAAAGGUACUCCGGGGAUAACAGGCUGAUACCGCCCAAGAGUUCAUAUCGACGGCGGUGUUUGGCACCUCGAUGUCGGCUCAUCACAUCCUGGGGCUGAAGUAGGUCCCAAGGGUAUGGCUGUUCGCCAUUUAAAGUGGUACGCGAGCUGGGUUUAGAACGUCGUGAGACAGUUCGGUCCCUAUCUGCCGUGGGCGCUGGAGAACUGAGGGGGGCUGCUCCUAGUACGAGAGGACCGGAGUGGACGCAUCACUGGUGUUCGGGUUGUCAUGCCAAUGGCACUGCCCGGUAGCUAAAUGCGGAAGAGAUAAGUGCUGAAAGCAUCUAAGCACGAAACUUGCCCCGAGAUGAGUUCUCCCUGAGACUUAGAGUCUCCUGAAGGAACGUUGAAGACGACGACGUUGAUAGGCCGGGUGUGUAAGCGCAGCGAUGCGUUGAG
RNAcentral lists this ribosomal RNA (2280 nucleotides) under Salmonella enterica subsp. enterica serovar Tennessee. RNAcentral describes it as "bacterial LSU rRNA". It matches the Rfam family "Bacterial large subunit ribosomal RNA", at positions 575 to 2890 of the family's 2925-position model. Lineage: Bacteria; Pseudomonadati; Pseudomonadota; Gammaproteobacteria; Enterobacterales; Enterobacteriaceae. The record is from RNAcentral.